This 603-nucleotide long non-coding RNA is filed under the name Eucalyptus grandis. RNAcentral's name for it is "long non-coding RNA (EGRA_LNC005454)". The record is from RNAcentral. Lineage: Eukaryota; Viridiplantae; Streptophyta; Magnoliopsida; Myrtales; Myrtaceae.
UGAAGAAGACUCACAUCUAUGGACUUAAGCGAAUUAAAGACCCCAGCGAAGCCACGUUGCGUCUUCUUCCCACGUCCAUCGACGCCAACAGCUGCUCCCCAUCUCUGCCACGUUGCGGUCAAUUUCACCGGUCAAUUGAUCGCAUACUCCCACGACCAGCUGCUUCGAAGAUUUCUACGAAGCUGCUCCUUCGUCCCCAGCUUCUCCAGCAGCUCAUGCAAAUCCAACCACGGUCGAAGUUGCUUCUCCGGUCACCUCUCCAAGCCGUGAGAAGUCCAGCAUCACGUCUUCGGUCCAGCUCGCAAGAAGUCAGUCCAUCGGGCCCUUGCUGUUUCUCUCGCCAGGCCCAAGCUGCAGUCCACGAGCCAACAAAUUCAGCCCGUGGAAUCCAAUUUUGGCCCAACAGCUUUCAGCCCAAGAGCCAAGCAGUCUUCAGUUUUUUUUUUCUCAGUCCAUUGAAGUUGCAUUUCGGCCCAAGCUCAGUCAGCCCAUCUCAAUUUAAAGCCCAGUUCAGUUUAGUUUCAAGCCCAGCAUCAGUUAUAUUUCAGUGAGGCCCAGCAAGUUCAGCCCAUCUUGGGCCCGUGAAGCAAGUCGGCCCAAGUU